UAACACAUGCAAGUACGAACGGUAACUUUGAGAAUGUAAGUUUUCGGAUGAUUUUUCAAAGUUUUAGUGGCGAACGGGUGAGUAAUGCAUGAGCAACCUGCCCUUCAGUGGGGGACAACAGUUGGAAACGACUGCUAAUACCGCAUAACGUGCCUUGAGGGCAUCCUCGAGGCACCAAAGAUUUAUCGCUGAAGGAUGGGCUCGCGUCCGAUUAGCUAGUUGGUGAGGUAACGGCUCACCAAGGCGACGAUCGGUAGCCGAACUGAGAGGUUGAUCGGCCGCAUUGGGACUGAGACACGGCCCAGACUCCUACGGGAGGCAGCAGUGGGGGAUAUUGCACAAUGGAGGAAACUCUGAUGCAGCAACGCCGCGUGAGGGAAGAAGGUCUUCGGAUUGUAAACCUAAGUUAUCAGGGACGAUUAUGACGGUACCUGAAGAGAAAGCUCCGGCUAACUACGUG
RNAcentral lists this ribosomal RNA (460 nucleotides) under uncultured bacterium. RNAcentral's name for it is "bacterial SSU rRNA". It matches the Rfam family "Bacterial small subunit ribosomal RNA", at positions 49 to 507 of the family's 1533-position model. The record is from RNAcentral.